Molecule: long non-coding RNA, 223 nt
Filed under: Citrus x clementina
Lineage: Eukaryota; Viridiplantae; Streptophyta; Magnoliopsida; Sapindales; Rutaceae
Description: Citrus clementina (C. clementina) long non-coding RNA (CCLE_LNC004610)
Source: RNAcentral
UUAAGAAUUUUUAAAAUCAUUUUACAUGUGAUUGGAUACAAAGGAGACUUUUGGUUACAUUAAAGGAAGGGUCAUUCGAGAGAAGUAAACAAAUGAGAAAAUGAUGUAUCGAAAUUGUGUAGUCACUUUUAAUUUCAUUUCUACUUGAAAUUGAUCGGCAGCAGAUGUCAAUAAAUUAUGAAGUUAUGGCGAAAGUCGGCACCAUCACCUAAGAUAUUUAAUA